This 70-nucleotide transfer RNA is filed under the name Ictidomys tridecemlineatus (thirteen-lined ground squirrel). Its description in RNAcentral is "Spermophilus tridecemlineatus (thirteen-lined ground squirrel) tRNA". It matches the Rfam family "tRNA". Rfam says of the family: Transfer RNA (tRNA) molecules are approximately 80 nucleotides in length. Lineage: Eukaryota; Metazoa; Chordata; Mammalia; Rodentia; Sciuridae. The record is from Rfam by way of RNAcentral.
GGGGGUGCAGCUCAGGGGUCCAGCACCUGCUUACCAUGCAGGAGACCCUGGGUUCAAACCCCAGCACCCA